RNAcentral lists this transfer RNA (73 nucleotides) under Eubacterium saphenum ATCC 49989. It matches the Rfam family "tRNA". From Rfam's summary of the family: Transfer RNA (tRNA) molecules are approximately 80 nucleotides in length. The record is from Rfam by way of RNAcentral. Lineage: Bacteria; Bacillati; Bacillota; Clostridia; Peptostreptococcales; Anaerovoracaceae.
GCUACUGUAGCUCAGCUGGUAGAGCAGCACAUUCGUAACGUGCAGGUCGCUGGUUCGAGUCCAGUCAGUAGCU